This 466-nucleotide ribosomal RNA is filed under the name uncultured bacterium. RNAcentral's name for it is "bacterial SSU rRNA". It matches the Rfam family "Bacterial small subunit ribosomal RNA", at positions 25 to 518 of the family's 1533-position model. The record is from RNAcentral.
CAGAACGAACGCUGGCGGCAGGCUUAACACAUGCAAGUUGACGGGAGUGUGAGAUAGCUGCUAUUUAACAUGAGAGUAGCGCACUGGUGAGUAACACGUGGGAACGUACCUUUUUAGUGGGGGACAACAGUUGGAAACGACUGCUAAUACCGCAUAAGCCCUGAGGGGGAAAGGAGCAAUUCGCUGAGAGAGCGGCCCGCGGAAGAUUAGGCAGUUGGUGGGGUAAAGGCCUACCAAACCUACGAUCUAUAGCUGAUCUGAGAGGAUGAACAGCCACAUUGGAACUGAGACACGGUCCAGACUCCUACGGGAGGCAGCAGUGAGGAAUAUUGGGCAAUGGAGGAAACUCUGACCCAGCCAUGCCCGCGUGAGUGAGAAGGUCUUCGGAUUGUAAAGCUCUUUUGUGCAGGAAGAUGAUGACAGUACUGCAAGAAAAAGCACCAGCAAACUUCGUGCCAGCAGCCGC